Molecule: small RNA, 1996 nt
Filed under: Pongo abelii (Sumatran orangutan)
Lineage: Eukaryota; Metazoa; Chordata; Mammalia; Primates; Hominidae
Description: retained intron
Source: RNAcentral
UUAUUUAUUUGACUUGUUUGCAUCCCUGAACUAGAAUGUAAGCUCUGUGAGGGCAAGGCCUUCCUCUGUCUCAUUUCCCUGCUGUAUCCCCAGUACCUGGAAUAGUGCUUGGUGUGUAGCAGGCACUCAAUAAACUGUGGAAAGGAUGAAGACGUCCCCAGUUGGGGCUGGGGAGGGCGACCAGCUGGCCUGUGCCGUAGCCGGUCACAGCACAUCAUGCUCUGUUGCAGGUCACUGCAAGGGGAUGCUGCACCCCCUCAAGGUGAGGCCUCUCCCUCUGGGGCCCCUCCUUUCUGCCUGGUUGGGGGCAGGAGGCUCAGUGGGGUGGGGAUAGGGCCCAGACACAGCCUUACACAAACACAGCCUUUGAGCUUCACGCACCAACCGAGCCCUGGGCACACAUGCCCGGCCAGCACAGUCCUGUCCACUGAGGCACCAACCCAAGCCCAGGCCUCCGACUGCAGAGUAACGGGCAGGUAUUCCGUGCAGGUGAAGAGCUGAUUGAGGCUGCUAAGAGGAACGACUUCUGUAAGGUACUAGCUCCAGGCUCCAGUUCCUUCCCCCAGCAGUUCCCUCGGGCCCUGGGGAGCGAGGCCUCUGGGUUGGGCCAAGAGCUGACCUGCUCAGGUGCUGUCAUCUGUCAUCGUCUGGCCCUCUGUGGGAUCUCCAGUGAUCGUCCCAUUCCACUUUGCCGUAUCUCUGUCUAGGCCACAAUAGAUGGCUCCUAGUAGGGGCUUCCUAGCUCAGUCCACCUGUCCCUGGUGCUUAGAAAGGAGCAGGUCAGAGGAAGCACUGCUCCAGGGCUUGGUCACCAGUGCUGCCAGAGAGCCCCACAGGCUGUGGGGUGAGAGGCCCCUCCUCUGGUGCUCCAGAGAGACCCACAGAGGCAACUCGGGAGUAAGAUGUGUGAGCGCACUCGUUUCAGGCCUGUGCUGGUGUACCCAGCUGUGGGCCAGCGUGUGAGCUCGGGGAAGGAGGGGUGGCUCCAGGAGGUCCAGCCCUGCCAUGCCUCCUGCUCUCAGCUCCAGGAGCUGCACCGAGCUGGGGGCGACCUCAUGCACCGAGACGAGCAGAGCCGCACGCUCCUGCACCACGCAGUCAGCACUGGCAGCAAGGAUGUGGUCCGCUACCUGCUGGACCACGCCCCUCCAGAGAUCCUUGAUGCGGUGGAGGAAAACGGGGAGACCUGUUUGCACCAGGCAGCAGCCCUGGGCCAGCGCACCAUCUGCCACUACAUCGUGGAGGCCGGGGCCUCGCUCAUGAAGACAGACCAGCAGGGCGACACUCCCCGGCAGCGGGCUGAGAAGGCUCAGGACACCGAGCUGGCCGCCUACCUGGAGAACCGGCAGCACUACCAGAUGAUCCAGCGGGAGGACCAGGAGACGGCUGUGUAGCGGGCCGCCCACGGGCAGCAGGAGGGACAAUGUGGCCAGGGGACGAGCGCCUUCCUUGCCCACCUCACUGCCACAUUCCAGUGGGACGGCCACGGGGGGACCUAGGCCCCAGGGAAAGAGCCCCGUGCCGCCCCCUAAGGAGCCGCCCAGACCUAGGGCUGGACUCAGGAGCUGGGGGCCUCACCUGUCCCCCUGAGGCCCCCGCCCGACCCGGAGGCUCACAGGGAACAGGACACGGCUGGGUUGGAUAUGCCUUCGCGGGGGGUUCUGGGGCAGGGCGCUCCCUGGCCGCAGCAGAUGCCCUCCCAGGAGUGGAGGGGCUGGAGAGGAGGAGGCCUUCGGGAAGAGGCUUCCUGGGCCCCCUGGUCUUCGGCCGGGUCCCCAGCCCCCGCUCCUGCCCCACCCCACCUCCCCCGGGCUUCCUCCCGGAAACUCAGCGCCUGCUGCACUUGCCCGCCCUGCCUUGCUUGGCACCCGCUCCGGCGACCCUCCCCGCUCCCCCGUCAUUUCAUCGCGGACUGUGCGGCCUGGGGGUGGGGGGCGGGACUCUCACGGUGACAUGUUUACAGCUGGGUGUGACUCAGUAAAGUGGAUCUUUUUUC